GCUGGGUGUGGUGGCUCACGCCUGUAAUCCCAGCACUUUAGGAGGCUGAGGCGGGUGGAUCACCUGAGGUCAGGAGUUCGGGAUCAGCCUGGCCAACAUGGUGAAAUCUUGUCUCUA
This is an unclassified non-coding RNA of Pongo abelii (Sumatran orangutan), 117 nucleotides long. It matches the Rfam family "Metazoan signal recognition particle RNA". Rfam says of the family: The signal recognition particle (SRP) is a universally conserved ribonucleoprotein. It is involved in the co-translational targeting of proteins to membranes. Lineage: Eukaryota; Metazoa; Chordata; Mammalia; Primates; Hominidae. The record is from Ensembl.